Molecule: transfer RNA, 72 nt
Filed under: Camelus bactrianus (Bactrian camel)
Lineage: Eukaryota; Metazoa; Chordata; Mammalia; Artiodactyla; Camelidae
Also listed under: 2 other names
Rfam family: tRNA
About the family: Transfer RNA (tRNA) molecules are approximately 80 nucleotides in length. Their secondary structure includes four short double-helical elements and three loops (D, anti-codon, and T loops). Further hydrogen bonds mediate the characteristic L-shaped molecular structure. tRNAs have two regions of fundamental functional importance: the anti-codon, which is responsible for specific mRNA codon recognition, and the 3' end, to which the tRNAs corresponding amino acid is attached (by aminoacyl-tRNA synthetases). tRNAs cope with the degeneracy of the genetic code in two manners: having more than one tRNA (with a specific anti-codon) for a particular amino acid; and 'wobble' base-pairing, i.e. permitting non-standard base-pairing at the 3rd anti-codon position.
Source: Rfam by way of RNAcentral
GAGGGUUUAGCUCAGUGGUAGAGUGUGUGCUUAGCAUGCACAAGGUCCUGGGUUCAAUCCCUAGUACCUCUG